This is an RNA transcript of Oryza brachyantha (malo sina), 2298 nucleotides long. It is a transcript of the gene named subtilisin-like protease SBT1.8, with no coding region annotated. The record is from RefSeq and is a predicted model, not a curated record. NCBI's taxonomy places the organism in Eukaryota, Viridiplantae, Streptophyta, Magnoliopsida, Poales, Poaceae. The transcript has 2 exons.
AUGAGAUACCGAUAUCUCGAGCUUCCACACCCAUCAACGAUGGCGUCUUCGACCUUCAAACCCUUGCAGUCCUUGGCAUUGCUCCUCCUCCUUGCGCAGCUCACCCACUCGGCCUUCAUUCCGAAGCCCAAGAACAGCACCGAGCAGCUGUCGAACACCUACAUCGUCCACGCCAACCACCUCCUCAAGCCGUCCCGCUUUGUCACCCUCGAGCACUGGUACAUCUCCAUGGUGGCUACGCACUCUCCUCGCGCCACCACCAACGGAACCCUCGCCGCAGCCGGCCGCAUCCUGUACACCUACGACACCGUCAUGCACGGCUUCGCGGUGCGCCUCGCCGCUGACGAGGCCCGGCGCAUGUCCCGCGUCCCUGGAGUGACCGCCGUGCGUGAGGGCAGGAUGUACUACCCGCAGACCACGAGGUCGCCGGGGUUCAUCGGCCUCGACCCGGAGUACGGCCUGUGGAGCGACACGGACUUCGGCGACGGCGUCAUCAUCGGCGUCAUUGACUCCGGCAUCUGGCCGGAGAGCCCGAGCUUCAACGACAGUGGCCUCGGCCCCGUCCGGCGUAGCUGGAAGGGCGGCUGCGUUGGGCUCGACUCCAGCCUGUGCAAAAACAAGCUCGUCGGCGCCAAGGACUUCUCCGUCGCACGUGGCGUCGACGGCCGCCGGCUCUGAGGUUGACGGCGCCGGCCUCUUCAUGUUCGCGCGCGGGACGGCGAGGGGGGUGGCGCCUAAGACAAGGAUCGCCAUGUACAAGUGCGGCGGGGCCGCCGGCGGCCACAUGGGCUUCAGCGACGCGGCCAUUAUCGCGGGGAUCGACGCCGCGGUGAGAGAUGGCGUGGACAUUAUCUCCCUCUCCCUCGGCUGCUACCCGGUCCCGUUCUACAUCGACAGCCUCGCGAUCGCCACGUUUGGCGCCCAGCGCGAGGGCGUGUUCGUCGUCCUCGCCAGCGGCAACAGAGGCCCACGGCCAUACACCGUGUGCAACGUGGCGCCGUGGAUGACCACCGUCGGCGCCGGCGCCGUGGACCGGCUUUUCCCGGCGAACCUCACGCUCGGCAGCGGGGAGGUCCUCAUCGGGCAGUCCCUCUACGCCAUGAAGGCCACGCGCACCGCCAUGACACCACUCGUGUUGCUCCGCACCUGCGAUGAGGAGACCAUCUCGCCCGACGUCGUCAUGGGCAAGGUUGUCGUGUGCCUGCGACUCGGCGGUGUCUAUGCGGGCAUGCUGCUGCAGGACGCCGGUGGAGCAGGCCUAGUCGCCGUGGACGGUGACGAAUGGCACGGCGACGGAGUGGUAUCCAAAGCCUUCACCCUCCCGGGUCUCACUCUCAGCUACUCCAAGGCCGAGAAGCUCAGGGACUACAUGGAGUCGAUGGCGAACCCGGUGGCGUCGUUCGGCUUCGCCUGCGAGACGGUCACCGGCGAGAACCGGGCACCGACGGCGGUGGGCUUCUCGUCGCGGGGGCCCAACUCCGUCGUCCCGGAGCUCCUCAAGCCCGACGUUCUCGCGCCGGGACUGAACAUUCUUGCAGCAUGGCCGAGCGACUUCCCCGUGUCAAUGUAUGACCGGGACACGAGGAGAUCCAACUACAACAUCAUGUCGGGGACAUCCAUGGCGUGCCCGCACGCCGCCGGCGUGGCGGCGCUGAUCAAGAAGAGGCACGGAGACUGGACGCCGGCCAUGAUACGCUCCGCGAUGAUGCCACCGCGGCCACGCUCGAUAACAGAUGCCGCGACAUCACCGACCAGGGCGUCGAACAAGCCGUCGCCAACGCCACCUUCACGAGCGCGACGCCGCUGGCGGCAGGAGCAGGUCACGUCCGCCCGCAGCUCGCCGUGGACCCGGGACUCGUCUACGACGCCGGCGUGAAGGACUACGUCGCCUUCCUCUGCAGCCUCAACUACACCGUCGAGCAGCUCCGCGUGUUCGUCCCCGACACGGCCGGGUGCACGACGACGCUUCCCGGCGGCCCAGCCGACCUCAACUACCCGUCGUUCGUCGUCGCCUUCAACGGCAGCACCCACGUCCGCACGCUGACACGGACGGUGACAAAGGUGUACGAGAAGCCAGAGACGUACAGCGUGUCCGUGUUGGCGCCGGCCGGCGUGAAGGUGACCGUGAAGCCGGCGACACUGGAGUUCAAGGAGAAGAACGAGAAGAAGAGCUACACGGUGGAGUUCAGGAGCGUGAAGAGAGGACACGCGAAAUCUCAGAGCUGGGAUUUCGGACACAUCUCGUGGGAGAAUCGGAAGCAUCAGGUAAGGAGCCCUGUGGUGUUCAUGUGGAACUAA